RNAcentral lists this ribosomal RNA (292 nucleotides) under uncultured bacterium. RNAcentral describes it as "partial 16S ribosomal RNA". It matches the Rfam family "Bacterial small subunit ribosomal RNA", at positions 505 to 796 of the family's 1533-position model. The record is from RNAcentral.
GUGUCAGCCGCCGCGGUAAUACGGAGGGAGCUAGCGUUAUUCGGAAUUACUGGGCGUAAAGCGCACGUAGGCGGCUUUGUAAGUUAGAGGUGAAAGCCUGGAGCUCAACUCCAGAAUUGCCUUUAAGACUGCAUCGCUUGAAUCCAGGAGAGGUGAGUGGAAUUCCGAGUGUAGAGGUGAAAUUCGUAGAUAUUCGGAAGAACACCAGUGGCGAAGGCGGCUCACUGGACUGGUAUUGACGCUGAGGUGCGAAAGCGUGGGGAGCAAACAGGAUUAGAAACCCUGGUAGUCC